CCUACGGGUGGCAGCAGUGAGGAAUAUUGGUCAAUGGCCGCAAGCCUGAACCAGCCAAGCCGCGUGAAGGACGAAGGUGCCAAGCAUUGUAAACUUCUUUUGUCAAGGGACAAAGUCAGGCUCGAGUGCCUGACCGAGUGUACUUUAAGAAAAAGCAUCGGCUAACUCCGUGCCAGCAGCCGCGGUAUUACGGAGGAUGCGAGCGUUAUCCGGAUUUAUUGGGUUAAAAGGGUGCGUGGGGGGACUGUUAAGUCAGCGGUAAAAGACCGGGGCUCACCCCCGGCGAGCAGUUGAAACUGGCUGUCUUGAGAUGUGGAGAGGUAGGCGGAAUG
Molecule: ribosomal RNA, 332 nt
Filed under: uncultured bacterium
Lineage: Bacteria
Description: partial 16S ribosomal RNA
Rfam family: Bacterial small subunit ribosomal RNA
Source: RNAcentral